RNAcentral lists this ribosomal RNA (265 nucleotides) under uncultured archaeon. RNAcentral's name for it is "partial 16S ribosomal RNA". It matches the Rfam family "Archaeal small subunit ribosomal RNA", at positions 717 to 982 of the family's 1478-position model. The record is from RNAcentral.
AGUCACUGACAUUAGAUACCCGUGUAGUCCAGGGUGUAAACGCUGCAGACUUGGUGUUGGAAGUCCCGUUGGGGGCAUCAGUGCCGGAGAGAAGUUGUUAAGUCUGCUACGUUGGGAGUACGUCCGCAAGGAUAGAAACUUAAAGGAAUUGGCGGGGGAGCACCGCAACGGGAGGAGCGUGCGGUUUAAUUGGAUUCAACACCGUAAACUCACCAGGGAAGACUGUUACAUGAAAGCCGAGAUGAAGACUCUGCUAGAUUUUCAG